This 468-nucleotide ribosomal RNA is filed under the name uncultured bacterium. RNAcentral describes it as "bacterial SSU rRNA". It matches the Rfam family "Bacterial small subunit ribosomal RNA", at positions 28 to 507 of the family's 1533-position model. The record is from RNAcentral.
GACGAACGCUGGCGGCGCGCUUAACACAUGCAAGUCGUGCGGUGUCGAAGGCAAGUCUUACGACAAGCCUUCGACACAGCGGCGAACGGGUGAGUAACACGUGAGUAGCUGUCCUAAGGAGGGGGAUAACGCCUGGAAACGGGUGCUAACACCCCAUAUGCCUCGCAAGAGGUGAAAGUGUACUUGCUACAGCCUUAGGGUGUGCUCGCGGCCUAUCAGCUAGUUGGUGAGGUAACGGCUCACCAAGGCUAAGACGGGUAGCCGGCCUGAGAGGGUGUACGGCCACACUGGAAUUGAGAUACGGUCCAGACUCCUACGGGAGGCAGCAGUGGGGAAUCUUGGGCAAUGGGCGAAAGCCUGACCCAGCGACGCCGCGUUGGGGAUGAAGCCCUUCGGGGCGUAAAACCCAUGUUGUAGGGGACGAAGAAAGUGACGGUACCCUACGAGAAAGCCCCGGCCAACUACGUG